Molecule: ribosomal RNA, 253 nt
Filed under: uncultured bacterium
Lineage: Bacteria
Description: partial 16S ribosomal RNA
Rfam family: Bacterial small subunit ribosomal RNA
Source: RNAcentral
UACGGAGGAUGCAAGCGUUAUCCGGAAUGAUUGGGCGUAAAGCGUCCGCAGGUGGCAAUGUAAGUCUGCUGUUAAAGCGUCUGGCUCAACCAGAUAAAGGCAGUGGAAACUACAUAGCUAGAGUAAGGUAGGGGUAGAGGGAAUUCCUGGUGUAGCGGUGAAAUGCGUAGAGAUCAGGAAGAACACCGGUGGCGAAAGCGCUCUGCUGGACCUAAACUGACACUGAGGGACGAAAGCUAGGGGAGCGAAUGGG